Molecule: ribosomal RNA, 253 nt
Filed under: uncultured bacterium
Lineage: Bacteria
Description: partial 16S ribosomal RNA
Rfam family: Bacterial small subunit ribosomal RNA
Source: RNAcentral
UACAGAGGUGGCAAGCGUUGUUCGGAAUUACUGGGCGUAAAGGGCGCGUAGGCGGCCUUCUAAGUCAGACGUGAAUUCCCCAGGCUUAACCUGGGAACUGCGUCUGAUACUGGAUGGCUUGAAUUCGGGAGAGGGAUGCAGAAUUCCAGGUGUAGCGGUGAAAUGCGUAGAUAUCUGGAGGAACACCGGUGGCGAAGGCGGGUCUCUGGGCCGAUACUGACGCUGAGGAGCGAAAGCGUGGGGAGCAAACAGG